AUGGGAGGGGGCACAGCCAGGCAGGACCCCCGAGAUGGGCACAGAGCUUUGCUGGGACCCCAAGGUGACAUUGGGAUGGACCCCCCCACCCCCUGCCAUUGGGACCCCCAGGUGCCACUGGGACCCCCCUGGUGCCAUCAUAGUUCAUUGGGACCCCCCUGUGCCACCAGGACCCCCCUGUGCCAUUGGGACCCCAACAUGACAUUGGGAUGGACCCCCAUGUGCCAUAGGGACCCCUAUGUGCCACCAGGACCCCCCCAUGCCAUCAUAGUUCAUUGGGACCCCCCUGUGCCAUUGGGAUGGACCCCCAUGUGCCACCAGGACCCCCGUGUGCCAUUGGGACCCUCUGUGCCAUUGGGACCCCAACACGACAUUGGGAUGGACCCCCACGUGCCACUGGGACCCCCCCAUGCCAUCAUAGUUCAUUGGGACCCCCCUGUGCCAUUUGGGACCCCCAUGUGUCUCCGGGACCCCCCAUGCCAUCGGGACCCCAGCAUGGCACUGGGAUGGACCCCCAGGUGUCACUGGGACCCCCCACGCCAUCAUAGUUCAUUGGGACCCCCCUGUGCCAUUGGGAUGGACCCCCAUGUGCCACCAGGAUCCCCUGUGCCACUGGGACCCCCAGGUGUCACCGGGACCCCCCCUUGCCAUCCUAUUUCAUUGCCCCCCCCUGUGCCAUUGGGACCCCCAUGUGCCACUGGGACCCCCCCGUGCCAUCAUAGUUCAUUGGGACCCCCCUGUGCCAUUGGGACCCUCAUAUGCCACUGGGACACCAACACAACAUUGGGAUGGACCCCCCAUAACAACAGGACCCCCAUGUGCCACCGGGACCCCCCCAUGGCAUCGGGACCCCAGCAUGGAACUGGGAUGGACCCCCAGGUGUCACCGGGACCCCCCUGUGCCAUCAUAGUUCAUUGGAACCCCCCCAUGGCAUUGGGACCCCAACACAACAUUGGGAUGGACCCCCCCAUAACAACGGGACCCCCAUGUGCCACCAGGACCCCCCCAUGCCAUUGGGACCCCAGCAUGGAACUGGGAUGGACCCCCAGGUGUCAUUGGGACCCCCCCAUGUGCCAUCAUAGUUCAUUGGGACCCCCAUGUGCCAUUGGGAUGGACCCCCAUGUGCCAUUGGGACCCCAACAUGACAUUGGGAUGGACCCCCCUGUGCCAUCAGGACCCCAGCAUGGCACUGGGAUGGACCCCCAGGUGUCACUGAGACUCCCCCGUGCCAUCAUAGUUCAUUGGGACCCCCCUGUGCCAUUGGGACCCCAACAUGACAUUGGGAUGGACCCCCCUGUGCCAUAG
RNAcentral lists this long non-coding RNA (1305 nucleotides) under Coturnix japonica (Japanese quail). RNAcentral describes it as "lncRNA (ENSCJPG00005002053.1)". The record is from RNAcentral. Lineage: Eukaryota; Metazoa; Chordata; Aves; Galliformes; Phasianidae.